AUACGUAGGGAGCGAGCGUUGUCCGGAAUUACUGGGUGUAAAGGGAGCGUAGGCGGGAGUGCAAGUCAGAUGUGAAAUGCAUGGGCUUAACCCAUGAGCUGCAUUUGAAACUGCAUUUCUUGAGUGAAGUAGAGGUAAGCGGAAUUCCUGGUGUAGCGGUGAAAUGCGUAGAUAUCAGGAGGAACACCGGUGGCGAAGGGGGCUUACUGGGCUUUUACUGACGCUGAGGCUCGAAAGCGUGGGGAGCAAACAGGAUUAGAUACCCUGGUAGUCCACGCUGUAAACGAUGAUUACUAGGUGUGGGGGGACUGACCCCUUCCGUGCCGCAGUUAACACAAUAAGUAUUCCGCCUGGGGAGUACGGCCGCAAGGUUGAAACUCAAAUGAAUUGGCGGGG
This 396-nucleotide ribosomal RNA is filed under the name uncultured bacterium. RNAcentral's name for it is "partial 16S ribosomal RNA". It matches the Rfam family "Bacterial small subunit ribosomal RNA", at positions 523 to 918 of the family's 1533-position model. The record is from RNAcentral.